This 379-nucleotide unclassified non-coding RNA is filed under the name uncultured fungus. Its description in RNAcentral is "partial contains small subunit ribosomal RNA, internal transcribed spacer 1, and 5.8S ribosomal RNA". The stretch from base 1 to 73 matches the Rfam family "Eukaryotic small subunit ribosomal RNA", at positions 1759 to 1831 of the family's 1831-position model. The record is from RNAcentral. Lineage: Eukaryota; Fungi.
ACAAACUUGGUCAUUUAGAGGAAGUAAAAGUCGUAACAAGGUUUCCGUAGGUGAACCUGCGGAAGGAUCAUUGAUGGAUAAAAUUUUCCCAAGCCUUUUAUGGGGGGCGAUGAAAUUAAAUUUCUCUCUUUCCCUUUCUGGCUUGCAAACAACUUUGAUACCCAAAAAGAGUUUCAUCUUUGAGUUCCCGCUUUCAGCUUUUAAUUUGCUGGAUAGUUGGAAUGUCAAGGACAGGAUUAGGGGGGAGACCCUUGGUUCUGGAAUGGUGUAACAACAAAUGUGGAUGCCUGAUAAAAGAACAAGAGUUUGGAUUUGGGAAAAAAUUGAAACAACUUUCAACAACGGAUCUCUUGGCUCUCACAUCGAUGAAGAACGCAGC